This 253-nucleotide ribosomal RNA is filed under the name uncultured bacterium. RNAcentral's name for it is "partial 16S ribosomal RNA". It matches the Rfam family "Bacterial small subunit ribosomal RNA", at positions 524 to 776 of the family's 1533-position model. The record is from RNAcentral.
GACAGAGGGUGCAAGCGUUGUUCGGAAUUACUGGGCGUAAAGCGCGUGUAGGCGGUCCGGAAAGUCGGAUGUGAAAGCCCUCGGCUCAACUGAGGAAGUGCAUCCGAAACUCCCGGACUUGAGUGCUGGAGAGGUAAGGGGAAUUCCCGGUGUAGAGGUGAAAUUCGUAGAUAUCGGGAGGAACACCGGCGGCGAAGGCGCCUUACUGGACAGCAACUGACGCUGAGACGCGAAAGCGUGGGGAGCAAACAGG